AUCAGUCAAGGAAGUAAGAAGCCACAAAACAGAAAAGAAAAAAAGAGAGAAGGUUGAAAAGAAAAGUAACAGUGAGAGCAAAGAAAACUAAGCAACAAAAUUACAUGGUCCUGGUAUAAAUGUCAGUGAGGAUGAAACUCAGUCAAGUAAUCAGUGAAAGACAGCUAAUAAGCACAUGUUGGUAGCACUCCACUUAGAUGAUAUAAGACCAGUCAAGAAAGACCUGGAUCCCAGAACAGCUCAAGAUGUCAACCCGAAGCAAAUUAACCAGCACAUAACAAUAGGAGAAACGAUACACAAAGUUGGAGGUGACACAGAGAAAUGAGAGAUGAUCAAGAUAAAAUUUCCAGGGUGGGAAGGAAGGUGGUAAUACCUGAGCUUCCUUUAGAGGCCAAAGAAGAGACUGAGGACGGGAAGAAGAUGAGGCUGAGGAUGGGGAAGAGGAUGAGGCAGAGGAAAUCCUCGA
Molecule: long non-coding RNA, 466 nt
Filed under: Homo sapiens (human)
Lineage: Eukaryota; Metazoa; Chordata; Mammalia; Primates; Hominidae
Description: non-protein coding lnc-IL24-1:1
Source: RNAcentral